CGGGCCCGGCGCGGACGGCGGGCGAGCGCGGCGGUCACCUGGCCGGGUGUUGCGGGCGGCCGAGGGCUCUGGGACCGGGGGUUCAGGACCCAGGGAAAACUCUCGGGAACUUCAUCCCGUGGUGUUUCAGAAGGGCCUUUGACAGCGUCCCUGCGCAAACUGCGCUUGCGGUGGGAAAGGCCUGGGACCCCAGGUUCAGACAGCACCCUCGCCUGAGGAGGACAUAGCCAGAAGCGAACUUGCACAGGACUCUAACUCGGUAAACGCAGCAGCGCAGCGGAGUCGAGUUAGAGGCUUGGCCCGGCAGGCAUCGCGCAAGUAAGCCCGGGGGUCUAACCUGAUCCUGGCAUCCUGAGUAAAAUUAAUUCAAAGCAGUAAAUAACGAUUGCCAAUUACUUGCGAGUUACUAUGGGGGAGUACAAAAGUGAAUGGAACAAUCUACCCACCAAAAACUUAGAACCUGGUGGGGCAAGAAAGACACAAAACCGGUCAAAAUGUUAUAACAGGCUUUAAAAGUCCCCGGAGAACUUUGAGAUGAACAAGAUUAAUUAUAAAAAUAGAAAAGGUACUCUUUUAACUCUGUCUUAGAAAAUAGUUGCAUUUAAGUAGAGACGAUUAAAAAAGGGCUUUCCAAGUCGAGAAAACAGGGCAAGAAGGGGAAAAAUAUUAACUAAGGAUCUUUUACUUGUCAGGUGCUUUGUAUACAUGUUUGUGUGCGUUUACAUGGAUUGAGCAAAUAAGGUAUUUAAAAAGAAACAAGAUCCAAAGGCCAGAGAGCCUGGGGGAGAAAAUCCAAGAGAAGUUAUUUAACUUCCAGGGUCGUCCGUUAGGAGAGAAGCGCCUCGUGUACACAGCGCCCUGCUCUGACUUCACCGCUGUCUUCCUUGCUGGUCCCCACCCACUCCUGGCCCCUGGACACUGCAGGGGUCCUGCCUGGGCUUCCGCUACACUCACCCCUUGGCAAUCUCAAUCCCAUGACUUCGCACACUGGCCCUGUGCCGUGGCUCCACCUGCAUCUCCGUGUAGCUGAACUCCAGGCUCCAGCCCAGACAUGCAGGAAAAGAGAAAAACAAACAGAGGUUUCUUAACAUACACAUCAGGCCUGUACAUGGGACUACUCAGUGAGGGGUAUCUUAAAGGGGCAGUUAGUAUGUGGGAGUCCAGAUACUAAAUUAGUAGGGGCAAAGGAGGGAGGAGACAGGCACUGAUAGAAGAUAAGGUGACCUUUUUUUUGAGAGACAAAUGGGCCCGUAGGAGAAGAGACAGAGAUCUGAUAGUCUCCGGACAAUGUCUUUCUGGGUGUGGUGCCAAGAUUAGAACUGCAUCUGGGAGGGGACUCCUGAUAAUUGAGUUCUUUCCGGGAGGCUCUGCUUUUAGUCAGACAAGGGAUUUCAGAAACUCAAAUGCCUUUCGCUCCGAAUAAUCCGUAUGCCACGCGGGCAUGCUUUGGCAUGCCACAUCCUGGCCCUUCACUAGCCUCCGACCAGUCUCCCCGAGUCUUCCGCCUCGACCCCUUCUCAUAAAAUGGAGCACACGCCCAGGCCUCAGCGAGGGUCCCACGGAUGACACCCGUGUGGCAUCUGUCAAGUGCGUGGCAAAGGGAGCACACUGAGAGCAACUCGCCCGUGCGCUGCUGGUCCACCCAGCGCGGUACCAAGGCAACUCACAGCUCCAGCCUGCCCAGUGGGCCACGCCCCUCCCAGGAUGAAAACUCACAAAAAUCCCAUUAUUUUUCUGAUCACUCUUAGAUAAUAAAAUGUCCUGAAGUCACUUUAAGUUAGAAAAUAAAGUAUCAAUUCAGUCCAACAUAUUAAUCAACUCUUCAGUUGUUAAUCAAAGGUAAACAUCCCCCACUGCCCAGUUAGGACCACCUUUUGGUAUAUUUCCUGCCCUCAGGUGUUGCACGCUUCUCUUUCUUCAUAAUAUCUGAUCUGUUUCUAAUUUUUAACAGCUUUAUUGAGGUAUAAGUGACAUAUAUAAUAUCACAUAUAUUUUAAAUAUACAAUUUGAAACAUUUUAACAUGUAUACACUCAUCAAACCAUCACUCCAAUCAAGAUAAUCACCCCAA
Lemur catta (Ring-tailed lemur) is the source of this 2069-nucleotide long non-coding RNA. RefSeq lists it as uncharacterized. Lineage: Eukaryota; Metazoa; Chordata; Mammalia; Primates; Lemuridae. The transcript has 4 exons. The record is from RefSeq and is a predicted model, not a curated record.